This 1069-nucleotide long non-coding RNA is filed under the name Prunus dulcis (almond). Its description in RNAcentral is "sRNA ncRNA". The record is from RNAcentral. Lineage: Eukaryota; Viridiplantae; Streptophyta; Magnoliopsida; Rosales; Rosaceae.
CAGCCAUCCACACGACCAUGGAUAACUAUUUAGCAAAUCUUAUAUAAGUCACUGGGUUUCAUCCCUGUCCACAAAACUCUUUGAUUGUGAAAUGCUGUGGUAGAUGCAAAUUGGGGGGGGAAGAAAGAUUUCAAAUUUGAAGACUCCAUGGCGCCCCUUGUGUUGUGCUACAUGUGCUUUCAAACGCUGAUCCAGUUGGCAUGUGAUCGCCUCAACCUUCUUCUUUUGGGUCCAUCUUGAAAAGCAAAUACAAUGGUGUUUUUUUUUGGCCUUGGCCUUCCUGGUUUCUUUUGUUUUGUUUUUUUCAUGUAAAUGUUCUGUUAUUUUACUGAUCAUCUCAAAUCCCAACUGGAUGGCACUAUGAGUUUUUGCAAGAGACAGACAUGUCGCUGUCCCAAAAAAAUUUGAGCUCUGAAAAGCAAUCGAAUGUGGUCAUGUAAUAGUGUCCAAGGGCCUAUGGAGAAAUCAGAACGGUCCAAUAAGGCUGCCAAGGAAAAACAAAACGUGAAGAACGGGACCAAUUCUUUGUCAGAUUGGUCUGCAAAUUCACGCGUUUCACAAAACCCAGCCUCAUGUCUGAAUCAAUUGGCUUUAGAGAAUUGUGUUCUAGAAAGAAAGAAAAACGUGGGUUUGGAAUUGGAUAUAUUUUAUGUUUUUUUUCCUGGACUAAAUAAUUGGAGGAGGAGGAGGAGGAGGAUGAGUAGGAGGACGGAGAAAUCAAAGUCAAAACUUUGGGUGCAAAAAUUAAUGUUGUUAACUACGUGAGUUACAUCAAUGAGGUGUUAGUUGGAUUGGUUUAAAUGUUUGGUGUGUUUUCAAGUGGUCUCGGGUUCAAACUCUUAUAGUAUUUGUGUGUGUGACAGGACGUUCGCCUAUGAUAGUUUAGGUUCAAGUCUGUUGUUUUGUUUUAUAAAUUAGGGCCAGUUUGGCAUUGCUGUGUUGUAAAAAUAAUCGCUGUCAGAUUUACUGUGAGAGAAAGCAGUUUGGCGUUUGGUAAACUUUUUGUUAAAAGUGUUGUUGGUACUAAUUCCCACAUAAUCAGAAAAUGAUUGCCGCAUAAUCAUUAAAC